Molecule: ribosomal RNA, 253 nt
Filed under: uncultured bacterium
Lineage: Bacteria
Description: partial 16S ribosomal RNA
Rfam family: Bacterial small subunit ribosomal RNA
Source: RNAcentral
AACGUAGGUACCGAGCGUUAUCCGGAUUUACUGGGCGUAAAGCGCGUUCAGGCGGUUUGGCAAGUCGGGUAUGAAAUCUCUCGGCUCAACCGGGAGAGGUUGUCCGAUACUUCCAGACUUGAGGGCAGUAGAGGGUGGUGGAAUUCCGGGUGUAGUGGUGAAAUGCGUAGAUAUCCGGAGGAACACCAGUGGCGAAAGCGGCCACCUGGACUGCACCUGACGCUGACACGCGAAAGCUAGGGGAGCGAACGGG